This 598-nucleotide ribosomal RNA is filed under the name uncultured bacterium. RNAcentral's name for it is "bacterial SSU rRNA". It matches the Rfam family "Bacterial small subunit ribosomal RNA", at positions 163 to 774 of the family's 1533-position model. The record is from RNAcentral.
CUAAUACCGGAUACGACCACUUCGGACAUCCGAUGGUGGUGGAAAGUUCCGGCGGUGAAGGAUGAGCUCGCGGCCUAUCAGCUUGUUGGUGGGGUAACGGCCCACCAAGGCUUCGACGGGUAGCCGGCCUGAGAGGGUGACCGGCCACACUGGGACUGAGACACGGCCCAGACUCCUACGGGAGGCAGCAGUGGGGAAUAUUGGACAAUGGGCGAAAGCCUGAUCCAGCAACGCCGCGUGAGGGAUGACGGCCUUCGGGUUGUAAACCUCUUUCAGCAGGGACGAAGCGCAAGUGACGGUACCUGCAGAAGAAGCACCGGCCAACUACGUGCCAGCAGCCGCGGUAAUACGUAGGGUGCGAGCGUUGUCCGGAAUUAUUGGGCGUAAAGGGCUCGUAGGCGGUCUGUCACGUCGGGAGUGAAAACCUAGGGCUCAACUCUGGGCCUGCUUCCGAUACGGGCAGACUAGAGGUAUGCAGGGGAGAAUGGAAUUCCUGGUGUAGCGGUGAAAUGCGCAGAUAUCAGGAGGAACACCGGUGGCGAAGGCGGUUCUCUGGGCAUUACCUGACGCUGAGGAGCGAAAGUGUGGGGAGCGAACA